This 464-nucleotide ribosomal RNA is filed under the name uncultured bacterium. RNAcentral describes it as "bacterial SSU rRNA". It matches the Rfam family "Bacterial small subunit ribosomal RNA", at positions 9 to 517 of the family's 1533-position model. The record is from RNAcentral.
GAGUUUGAUCUUGGCUCAGAACGAACGCUGGCGGCAGGCUUAACACAUGCAAGUCGAACGCUCGUAGCAAUACGGGAGUGGCAGACGGGUGAGUAACGCGUGGGAACAUACCCUCCGGUUCGGAAUAGCUCAGGGAAACUUGGAUUAAUACCGAAUACGGCUGAGAGGCGAAAGAUUUAUCGCCGGAGGAUUGGCCCGCGUUCGAUUAGCUUGUUGGUGAGGUAACGGCUCACCAAGGCGAUGAUCGAUAGCUGGUCUGAGAGGAUGAUCAGCCACAUUGGGACUGAGACACGGCCCAAACUCCUACGGGAGGCAGCAGUGGGGAAUAUUGGACAAUGGGCGCAAGCCUGAUCCAGCCAUGCCGCGUGAGUGAUGACGGCCUUAGGGUUGUAAAGCUCUUUCGCUCGGGACGAUAAUGACGGUACCGAGAUAAGAAGCCCCGGCUAACUUCGUGCCAGCAGCCG